This 468-nucleotide ribosomal RNA is filed under the name Vibrio sp. Hep-1b-8. Its description in RNAcentral is "bacterial SSU rRNA". It matches the Rfam family "Bacterial small subunit ribosomal RNA", at positions 1 to 440 of the family's 1533-position model. The record is from RNAcentral. Lineage: Bacteria; Pseudomonadati; Pseudomonadota; Gammaproteobacteria; Vibrionales; Vibrionaceae.
AAAUUGAAGAGUUUGAUCAUGGCUCAGAUUGAACGCUGGCGGCAGGCCUAACACAUGCAAGUCGAGCGGAAACGAGUUAACUGAACCUUCGGGGAACGUUAACGGCGUCGAGCGGCGGACGGGUGAGUAAUGCCUGGGAAAUUGCCCUGAUGUGGGGGAUAACCAUUGGAAACGAUGGCUAAUACCGCAUAAUAGCCCGGUUCUUCGGAAUUGGUCUCAAAGAGGGGGACCUUUUAGGCCUCUCGCGUCAGGAUAUGCCCAGGUGGGAUUAGCUAGUUGGUGAGGUAAUGGCUCACCAAGGCGACGAUCCCUAGCUGGUCUGAGAGGAUGAUCAGCCACACUGGAACUGAGACACGGUCCAGACUCCUACGGGAGGCAGCAGUGGGGAAUAUUGCACAAUGGGCGCAAGCCUGAUGCAGCCAUGCCGCGUGUAUGAAGAAGGCCUUCGGGUUGUAAAGUACUUUCAGC